UUCCUACGGGGGGCUGCAGUAAGGAAUAUUGGACAAUGGUCGCAAGACUGAUCCAGCCAUGCCGCGUGCAGGAUGAACGAUCUAUGAUCUGUAAACUGCUUUUGUUCGGGAAUAAACCCCUUCACGUGUGGAGGGCUGAAUGUACCGAAAGAAUAAGGGUCGGCUAACUUCGUGCCAGCAGCCGCGGUAAGACGAAGGACCCAAGCGUUAUCCGGAUUUAUUGGGUUUAAAGGGUGCGUAGGCGGGUUGUUAAGUCAGUGGUGAAAGCCUAGAGCUUAACUCUAGACUUGCCAUUGAUACUGACGAUCUUGAGGAUAGUUGAGGUGGGCGGAAUGUAUCAUGUAGCGGUGAAAUGCUUAGAGAUGAUACAGAACACCGAUUGCGAAGGCAGCUCACUAAGCUAUUUCUGACGCUGAGGCACGAAAGCGUGGGGAUCAAACAGGAUUAGAUACCCCGGUAGUC
Molecule: ribosomal RNA, 462 nt
Filed under: uncultured Sphingobacteriales bacterium
Lineage: Bacteria; Pseudomonadati; Bacteroidota; Sphingobacteriia; Sphingobacteriales
Description: bacterial SSU rRNA
Rfam family: Bacterial small subunit ribosomal RNA
Source: RNAcentral